GAUGAAGAACGUAGCGAAAUGCGAUACUUGGUGUGAAUUGCAGAAUCCCGUGAACCAUCGAGUCUUUGAACGCAAGUUGCGCCCGAAGCCAUUAGGCCGAGGGCACGCCUGCCUGGGCGUCACACGUCGUUGCCCCCCCCAUCUACUCCUUCGGGAUUGCGGGGGGCGGAUGAUGGCCUCCCGUGCGCCUCGCCGCGCGGUUGGCAUAAAUGCCAAGUCCUCGGCGACGCACGCCACGACAAUCGGUGGUUGCGAAACCUCGGUUGCCCGUCGUGUGCGGUCGUCGCGCAUCGAGGGCUCGAAAAAAUUGCCGAGUUCCGGCUCGGCUUUCAACGCGACCCCAGGUCAGGCGGGAUUACCCGCUGAAUUUAAGCAUAUCAAUAAGCGGAGGA
Molecule: unclassified non-coding RNA, 392 nt
Filed under: soil metagenome
Description: partial contains 5.8S ribosomal RNA, internal transcribed spacer 2, and large subunit ribosomal RNA
Rfam family: 5.8S ribosomal RNA (bases 1-122)
Source: RNAcentral